Molecule: ribosomal RNA, 253 nt
Filed under: uncultured bacterium
Lineage: Bacteria
Description: partial 16S ribosomal RNA
Rfam family: Bacterial small subunit ribosomal RNA
Source: RNAcentral
UACGGAGGGUGCAAGCAUUAAUCGGAUUUACUGGGCGUAAAGGGCGCGUAGGUCGAAAGGCAAGUCAGAUGUGAAAUCCUGGGGCUCAACUCCAGAACUGCAUUUGAAACUACCUUUCUAGAGGAUAGGAGGAGAAAAUGGAAUUCCACAAGUAGCGGUGAAAUGCGUAGAUAUGUGGAAGAACACCAGUGGCGAAGGCGAUUUUCUAUCUUAUUCCUGACGCUGAGGCGCGAAAGCUAGGGGAGCAAACAGG